ACGAAUUAUAUCAAGAAAAUCUACACCGGUUGAUCAAAAUCAGUUUAACAAUAUGGCUCUAGUUUAAUUCAACUACGGACAUCACGCAGACAUUUUGAAAAUAAUGUACAAACCAAUAAAAAAAUUAACUCUGGCAUCCUUCAUUAGUGGAAUUCUUUUGAAAGUAGCCGUAUGAGUAGCUGUGCGAGUUGCGUGAUGUUUCGAGUUUAAAAUUUGGUUUCAUUUGAGUGCAAUCGAUGGAUAAACAUUGAUAGCAACCAGGAUAACAGAAGGAAAUGAAAUGAGCGGCAUGAUUCUGUUGUAAUGGAUACUAACUCAAACAGUGGAUAGGUCGACUAAGAGUCAUAGAAGAAGAUAUAAAGGACGGAAAACUAAGUCAGCGAAGGGCCACUGAGGAGGGAGGAAAAAAAGUUCUCGGUGACCAAAACAAUAUGGGAUUAAAAUAACAAUAGUAAUAUCGUUUUUUGACCCAAAAUACCCCCACUGACGAUUUAUCGCCUGGGAGGAAAAAGCCACGUGGCCAUAUAGGGGGG
Molecule: long non-coding RNA, 533 nt
Organism: Culex quinquefasciatus (southern house mosquito)
Lineage: Eukaryota; Metazoa; Arthropoda; Insecta; Diptera; Culicidae
Exons: 3
Source: RefSeq, a predicted model, not a curated record